RNAcentral lists this ribosomal RNA (765 nucleotides) under uncultured bacterium. Its description in RNAcentral is "bacterial SSU rRNA". It matches the Rfam family "Bacterial small subunit ribosomal RNA", at positions 36 to 796 of the family's 1533-position model. The record is from RNAcentral.
CUGGCGGCAGGCCUAACACAUGCAAGUCGAGCGGUAGAGAGAAGCUUGCUUCUCUUGAGAGCGGCGGACGGGUGAGUAAUGCCUAGGAAUCUGCCUGGUAGUGGGGGAUAACGUUCGGAAACGGACGCUAAUACCGCAUACGUCCUACGGGAGAAAGCAGGGGACCUUCGGGCCUUGCGCUAUCAGAUGAGCCUAGGUCGGAUUAGCUAGUUGGUGAGGUAAUGGCUCACCAAGGCGACGAUCCGUAACUGGUCUGAGAGGAUGAUCAGUCACACUGGAACUGAGACACGGUCCAGACUCCUACGGGAGGCAGCAGUGGGGAAUAUUGGACAAUGGGCGAAAGCCUGAUCCAGCCAUGCCGCGUGUGUGAAGAAGGUCUUCGGAUUGUAAAGCACUUUAAGUUGGGAGGAAGGGUUGUAGAUUAAUACUCUGCAAUUUUGACGUUACCGACAGAAUAAGCACCGGCUAACUCUGUGCCAGCAGCCGCGGUAAUACAGAGGGUGCAAGCGUUAAUCGGAAUUACUGGGCGUAAAGCGCGCGUAGGUGGUUUGUUAAGUUGGAUGUGAAAUCCCCGGGCUCAACCUGGGAACUGCAUUCAAAACUGACUGACUAGAGUAUGGUAGAGGGUGGUGGAAUUUCCUGUGUAGCGGUGAAAUGCGUAGAUAUAGGAAGGAACACCAGUGGCGAAGGCGACCACCUGGACUAAUACUGACACUGAGGUGCGAAAGCGUGGGGAGCAAACAGGAUUAGAUACCCUGGUAGUCC